This 442-nucleotide ribosomal RNA is filed under the name uncultured bacterium. RNAcentral describes it as "partial 16S ribosomal RNA". It matches the Rfam family "Bacterial small subunit ribosomal RNA", at positions 338 to 795 of the family's 1533-position model. The record is from RNAcentral.
CCUACGGGUGGCAGCAGUGGGGAAUAUUGCACAAUGGACGAAAGUCUGACGCAGCAACGCCGCGUGAAGGAAGAAGGCUUUCGGGUUGUAAACUUCUUUUAAGAGGGAAGAGCAGUAGACGGUACCCAUUGACUAAGCCACGCUUAACUACGUGCCACAAGCCGCGGUAAUACGUAGGUGGCAGGCGUUGUCCGGAUUGACUGGGUGUAAAGGGCGGGCAGCCGGAGAGCAAAGUCAGAUGUGAAAUCUACGGGCUCAACCCGUGAACUGCAUUUGAUACUGUUAGCCGUGAGUGUCGGAGAGGUAGUCGGAAGUCGUGGUGUAGCGGUGAAAUGCGUAGAUAUAAGGAAGAACACCGGUGGCGAAGGCAGAUUACUGGACGGUAACUGACGGUGAGGCGCGAAAGUGUGGGGAGCAAACAGGAUUAGAUACCCUUGUAGUC